This 252-nucleotide ribosomal RNA is filed under the name uncultured prokaryote. RNAcentral's name for it is "partial 16S ribosomal RNA". It matches the Rfam family "Bacterial small subunit ribosomal RNA", at positions 524 to 776 of the family's 1533-position model. The record is from RNAcentral.
UACGAGGGGGCGAGCGUUGUUCGGAAUUAUUGGGCGUAAAGGGUGCGUAGGCGGUUUGGUAAGUCUUAUGUGAAAUCUUUGGGCUUAACCCGAAAACUGCCAUUGAUACUAUCUGUCUUGAAUAUUGUGGAGGUUUGCGGAAUAUGUCAUGUAGCGGUGAAAUGCUUAGAGAUGACAUAGAACACCUAUUGCGAAGGCAGCAAACUACGCAUAUAUUGACGCUGAGGCACGAAAGCGUGGGGAUCAAACAGG